GCGCGGAUGGCCACACGUCCGCCAUCCUGCGGCCUCCCCGACGUCGUGGGUGCCUACUAGACCGCUCUCGCGGCACCUCGGCGAACCCUAGCCUCGCAAUCCCCUUCCUCUCGCUCUCUUUCUACUAGAGCUCGCGCCCGAGACUCCCGUCAGCGCCGCGUCGUCGUUGCCGUGCUCCGAGGCAUCCCCGAGCUGCUACAAGGUGGCCAGGAUCCUCCCCGACCUCGUCUCCUUCACCUACACCUCUGGAUCGAAGCCAAAAGGCCAUGUAUGUUCCGCAUCGAGCUGCAAUCCUCACCACCAUGGCCGCCGCGGCCAUCGCCGUCGAUGUCCACCACCGGCGCCUCCCCGACCUUCCCCGAGCUCGCCUACGUUCUCCCCGACCCCGAGGCCGCAGCCGGUACCCCCGAUCGACUACGGUGUUGACGACCCCUACUUGUUUGAGCAACCAGACGAUGGAGCCCAGGAGCCAGACGCCACUGCCGAUGACGACUACUACUACUCGGGAGGUGCCUACUACUACGUGCAGCCCGCUGACGGCGACCAGGAGUAGUUUAGGAGGAUCCCAGGCAGGAGGCCUGCGCCUCUUUCAAUCUGUAUCCCAGUUUGUGCUAGCCUUCUUAAGGCAAACUUGUUUAACUUAUGUCUGUACUCAGAUAUUGUUGGUUCCGCUGACUCGUCUAUGAUUGAGCUCUUGUAUUCGAGCCUUCGAGGCCCCUGGCUUGUAAUAUGAUGCUUGUAUGACUUAUUUUAUUUGUAGAGCUG
This 765-nucleotide ribosomal RNA is filed under the name Triticum aestivum (bread wheat). Its description in RNAcentral is "partial small subunit ribosomal RNA". The record is from RNAcentral. Lineage: Eukaryota; Viridiplantae; Streptophyta; Magnoliopsida; Poales; Poaceae.